This 1235-nucleotide long non-coding RNA is filed under the name Cyanistes caeruleus (blue tit). Its description in RNAcentral is "lncRNA (ENSCCEG00000015224.1)". The record is from RNAcentral. Lineage: Eukaryota; Metazoa; Chordata; Aves; Passeriformes; Paridae.
GUGUGCCAAGCCCCCAUGGGCCGUGCCAAUGCUGCACAGUCUGCUCUGUUGGUGCCCAGAACGAGAUGGUUGUGGGAGGCAGAGCUGGCUGAGCACCUUAGCAAAUCUGCUUUCCCUGGCAGCAUCCUGUGUGCCUGGAGGUGCCCCCAGCCUGCCCUCCCAGGGAUCUGCAGAGGGAACAUGCCCUGCUGGAUGAACAAGAGCAACAUUCCUACCCUGAUGAUCUUGCAGCAAGAACAAACGAAUACUAGAGAGAACUGAGGCGAAAUACAAGCAGGAUUCAGAUGGCAAACACAACCAGAGAGUGUGCUGGGAAUGAGUGGUUUAUGUUCAGGAUAUCUCACCCAUGGGGACAUGCAUUCUGGAGUCAAGAGCAAUUGAGUUUGGUCCUGGGAUGCCUCAAGGAACUGUGUGAUGGCAUGGAUGUUCUCCUUAACCUUUUCAUCAUCCGUGGGUCCCCUCUCCACUGCCUGCUGCACCAUCCCCAAGCUUGUUCAGGAAACCACUUGCCAAAUCUGUCAGAUCAGCCAGGUGAACUCAUCCUCACUCUUUUGCCUAUGGGGAAAGAAAGAGGUAAUAAAGCUCCUCCAAAACAGACUGAACAGAAGCCAUUAUUUUAUGUCCAGGCCUUGCUGAGUAAUAAUGAUCUGCCUUUAACCACCCACUCGUGCCUCUGUUUAUCCCCCUGUUCGUUCAUGACCUUCACUCAUUGUAUUCUGUUGAAUUGAGCUUGUAUAUUCCUGACACACAGGAGCUGCAUCUUCAUUCAUUUGUGGUAAAUGCCUGAGACACUCAGGGCACUUGAAAUUAAAUAAUCAGCAGUGAAACAAAAGACCCCAAUUGGGCACACAGGCACAUUGUCUGUUUUAUUUGCAGAUAAGUUCUGUCUAAAAGCCAGCAAUGCGUGAUGUUUCUUGCUGCUUUUUCAGUUUAAAGCAGAUGUUGUACACAAUAUUAGAAACCAUAUCCUUGCAGGCUGUGAAGUAAUGAGGGCAAGAAGUGAGAAGUGAAGAGCUGGGAUAUCUCCUGCUUUAUUUAGGUGAGGCUUUGGGGAAGGAAGGAGUGUAGAGUGAGGGCCCUGCAUUUGAGCAAAACGUUCUGUGCUUUUAUGCUUUUUGAGGCUGAGUGUCUGUCCAGUUGAGGAUGAUGUGUGAAAGGGAGGCUACAAAGGGAGGAAGGGAGUGAGGGAAGGAGGGGAAGAAAUAAAGGUUUUAGUGCUCUAAGUUGGAUCUACA